UGUUCCUACGGGGGGCAGCAGUGGGGAAUAUUGGGCAAUGGGCGCAAGCCUGACCCAGCAACGCCGCGUGAAUGAAGAAGGCUUUCGGGUUGUAAACUUCUUUUGUCAGGGACGAAGCAAGUGACGGUACCUGACGAAUAAGCCACGGCUAACUACGUGCCAGCAGCCGCGGUAAUACGUAGGUGGCAAGCGUUAUCCGGAUUUAUUGGGUGUAAAGGGCGUGUAGGCGGGGAGGCAAGUCAGCUGUGAAAACUAUGGGCUCAACACAUAGACUGCAUUCGAAACU
RNAcentral lists this ribosomal RNA (286 nucleotides) under uncultured bacterium. RNAcentral's name for it is "partial 16S ribosomal RNA". It matches the Rfam family "Bacterial small subunit ribosomal RNA", at positions 334 to 634 of the family's 1533-position model. The record is from RNAcentral.